GAUUCCUUAGUAACGGCGAGUGAAGCGGGAUGAGCUCAAAUUUGAAAGCUGGCGUGCUUGCGCGUCCCGCAUUGUAAUUUCUAGAGGCGUUUUCCACGCUGGACCACGUACAUGUUCCUUGGAAUAGGAUGUCAUAGAGGGUGAGAAUCCCGUACUUGACGUGGACGACCAUGCGUUUUGUGAUACGCUCUCGAAGAGUCGAGUUGUUUGGGAUUGCAGCUCUAAAUUGGUGGUAAAUUCCAUCUAAAGCUAAAUAUUGGGGAGAGACCGAUAGCGAACAAGUACCGUGAGGGAAAGAUGAAAAGCACUUUGGAAAGAGAGUUAAACAGUACGUGAAAUUGUCAAAAGGGAAGCGUUGGAAGUUAGUCAUGGGUCGUGUAGCUCAGCUUGUGUUUUCAUUGGCUUUCUCUAUGCGAUCCAAGCCAGCAUCGGUUUUGACUGUCGGAUAAGAGCAGGAGGAAAGUGGCUUUUUCGGAAGACCUUAUAGCCUCUUGCUGGAUACGACGGUUGGGACCGAGGACUGCAGCAUGCCGUAAGGCGGACCUUCGGGUACCUUCAUGCUAAGGAUGCUGGCGUAAUGGCUUUCAACGACCCGUCUUGAAACACGGACCAAGGAGUCUAACAUGUCUGCGAGUCUUUGGGUGGCAAACCCAUAGGCGCAAUGAAAGUAAAUGCAGGUGGGAUCCGUAAGGUGCACCAUCGACCGGUCUUGAAGCUUCGUGCGGACAGAUCUGAGUAAGAGCAUAUAUGUUGGGACCCGAAAGAUGGUGAACUAUGCCUGAAUAGGGGCGAAGCCAGAGGAAACUCUGGUGGAGGCUCGUAGCGGUUCUGACGUGCAAAUCGAUCGUCAAAUUUGGGUAUAGGGGCGAAAGACUAAUCGAAACCAUCUAGUAGCUGGAUCUGCGGAG
RNAcentral lists this ribosomal RNA (908 nucleotides) under Coniodictyum chevalieri. RNAcentral describes it as "LSU rRNA". It matches the Rfam family "Eukaryotic large subunit ribosomal RNA", at positions 73 to 966 of the family's 3401-position model. Lineage: Eukaryota; Fungi; Basidiomycota; Exobasidiomycetes; Exobasidiales; Cryptobasidiaceae. The record is from RNAcentral.